Molecule: long non-coding RNA, 428 nt
Filed under: Callithrix jacchus (white-tufted-ear marmoset)
Lineage: Eukaryota; Metazoa; Chordata; Mammalia; Primates; Cebidae
Description: lncRNA (ENSCJAG00000080047.1)
Source: RNAcentral
CCCUGAGUUCUCAAUUGUGCUGUUUGUUAUUGUCAACAACAGUCAUUCUUAAAAGUGAUCACACAAUUGCCCUGUUUUUCAGAAUUGUGCCUGCUCUUCUUGACUCACGAAAAUACUGCAAAAGAAACUUGCUUUGUCUGCCCUGACUCAGGAGAAAUGCAAGUGGCCACGGAUUUGCUCUGGAGGACUAAGUUGAUAGUAUAAACCUGUGGUUCUCAUAAGUAUCCCCAGGCUGCACUAUCAGCAUCACAUGGAAACAUCUCUCAAAAAGGCAUGUCAGAAACUGUGAGGACAGAACCCAGGAGUCUGCUUCAUAAAGCCUUUCAGGUGAUUCAGAUUUUAGCUGCCAGAGUGAGAUCUUGUAUGAGAGCGGGUAACGGAGGCAUUGUGGGAAAGAAGUAUUCAUUAGGAGACAUUCAGUUCAUCAG